AAGGAGCUGUGCGUUCCAUUUAUACUUUGAUUCAACUCACCUUGGCUGCAGUGUGAGACCAGCCUGAUGCUGCUGCCAGAGGGACAAGGGCCAGCCUGUUGCUGUGGCCAGAGGACAAGGAUCAACCUACUGCCUGCCAGCCAGAGACCUACCGGCAAUCUGCAACUUAAUGUUCCGCAGAAGGUCCAGCUGGUUGAGCGGUGGGAUUAGCCUGUGAAAAGGAUACAGAGAAAACCACAUGAGACUUUUAUUACAUAAACAUGUCUACACAAA
Pseudophryne corroboree (corroboree frog) is the source of this 273-nucleotide long non-coding RNA. RefSeq lists it as uncharacterized. NCBI's taxonomy places the organism in Eukaryota, Metazoa, Chordata, Amphibia, Anura, Myobatrachidae. The record is from RefSeq and is a predicted model, not a curated record. The transcript has 2 exons.